CGCUCGGCCUUGGGCUGGGCUGCGCUGGGCUGCGGGCUCCCACCUCCCGGCCGUCGGCUCUGCAGGUCCCUCCAGGCCCUCG
This 82-nucleotide microRNA precursor is filed under the name Erinaceus europaeus (western European hedgehog). RNAcentral's name for it is "miRNA (ENSEEUG00000019673.1)". Lineage: Eukaryota; Metazoa; Chordata; Mammalia; Eulipotyphla; Erinaceidae. The record is from RNAcentral.